UACGUAGGGUGCGAGCGUUAAUCGGAAUUACUGGGCGUAAAGCGUGCGCAGGCGGUUAUUUAAGUCAGGUGUGAAGGCCCUGGGCUUAACCUAGGAAUUGCGCUUGAGACUGGAUAGCUUGGAGUGCGGCAGAGGGAGGUGGAAUUCCACGUGUAGCAGUGAAAUGCGUAGAGAUGUGGAGGAACACCGAUGGCGAAGGCAGCCUCCUGGGCCAGCACUGACGCUCAUGCACGAAAGCGUGGGGAGCAAACAGG
Molecule: ribosomal RNA, 254 nt
Filed under: uncultured bacterium
Lineage: Bacteria
Description: partial 16S ribosomal RNA
Rfam family: Bacterial small subunit ribosomal RNA
Source: RNAcentral